UCCUGGCUCAKGACGAACGCUGGCGGCGUGCCUAAUACAUGCAAGUCGAGCGGACCGACGGGAGCUUGCUCCCUUAGGUCAGCGGCGGACGGGUGAGUAACACGUGGGUAACCUGCCUGUAAGACUGGGAUAACUCCGGGAAACCGGGGCUAAUACCGGAUGCUUGAUUGAACCGCAUGGUUCAAUCAUAAAAGGUGGCUUUUAGCUACCACUUACAGAUGGACCCGCGGCGCAUUAGCUAGUUGGUGAGGUAACGGCUCACCAAGGCGACGAUGCGUAGCCGACCUGAGAGGGUGAUCGGCCACACUGGGACUGAGACACGGCCCAGACUCCUACGGGAGGCAGCAGUAGGGAAUCUUCCGCAAUGGACGAAAGUCUGACGGAGCAACGCCGCGUGAGUGAUGAAGGUUUUCGGAUCGUAAAACUCUGUUGUUAGGGAAGAACAAGUACCGUUCGAAUAGGGCGGUACCUUGACGGUACCUAACCAGAAAGCCACGGCUAACUACGUGCCAGCAGCCGCGGUAAUACGUAGGUGGCAAGCGUUGUCCGGAAUUAUUGGGCGUAAAGCGCGCGCAGGCGGUUUCUUAAGUCUGAUGUGAAAGCCCCCGGCUCAACCGGGGAGGGUCAUUGGAAACUGGGGAACUUGAGUGCAGAAGAGGAGAGUGGAAUUCCACGUGUAGCGGUGAAAUGCGUAGAGAUGUGGAGGAACACCAGUGGCGAAGGCGACUCUCUGGUCUGUAACUGACGCUGAGGCGCGAAAGCGUGGGGAGCGAACAGGAUUAGAUACCCUGGUAGUCCACGCCGUAAACGAUGAGUGCUAAGUGUUAGAGGGUUUCCGCCCUUUAGUGCUGCAGCAAACGCUAAGCACUCCGCCUGGGGAGUACGGUCGCAAGACUGAAACUCAAAGGAAUUGACGGGGGCCCGCACAAGCGGUGGAGCAUGUGGUUUAAUUCGAAGCAACGCGAAGAACCUUACCAGGUCUUGACAUCCUCUGACAACCCUAGAGAUAGGGCUUCCCCUUCGGGGGCAGAGUGACAGGUGGUGCAUGGUUGUCGUCAGCUCGUGUCGUGAGAUGUUGGGUUAAGUCCCGCAACGAGCGCAACCCUUGAUCUUAGUUGCCAGCAUUCAGUUGGGCACUCUAAGGUGACUGCCGGUGACAAACCGGAGGAAGGUGGGGAUGACGUCAAAUCAUCAUGCCCCUUAUGACCUGGGCUACACACGUGCUACAAUGGGCAGAACAAAGGGCAGCGAAGCCGCGAGGCUAAGCCAAUCCCACAAAUCUGUUCUCAGUUCGGAUCGCAGUCUGCAACUCGACUGCGUGAAGCUGGAAUCGCUAGUAAUCGCGGAUCAGCAUGCCGCGGUGAAUACGUCCCGGGCCU
Molecule: ribosomal RNA, 1379 nt
Filed under: Bacillus licheniformis
Lineage: Bacteria; Bacillati; Bacillota; Bacilli; Caryophanales; Bacillaceae
Description: bacterial SSU rRNA
Rfam family: Bacterial small subunit ribosomal RNA
Source: RNAcentral